Molecule: long non-coding RNA, 493 nt
Organism: Merops nubicus (carmine bee-eater)
Lineage: Eukaryota; Metazoa; Chordata; Aves; Coraciiformes; Meropidae
Exons: 2
Source: RefSeq, a predicted model, not a curated record
AGAACCAGUACAGCCUGACGAGAGCUCAGCAGUCCUACAAGUCCCUGGUUCAGAUCCACGAGAAGAACGGCUGGUACACGCCGCCCAAGGAGGACGGGUAGCGCGGACGCUGCGGGACCAGCCCCGUCCUCUGCUGGAUGCUCUACUCGGAUCUUGAUGCCUCUUGGCUUUCUCCCAGGAUGUAAUAGCUCUGCCUGUUGCAGGACAAUAAUGGCUGUUCAAAACCCUAAAUAAAACUGUGUAAGCAGUUGGACUGACCUGACACACUUGCUGGACCCUUGCUCGCAGCCAUUCUUGUCAAAACAAACUUUUGAGCCUCUUGUAUCGCUGGAAACUUUUGACUCUACUCCAGUCUAGAGCAUCCUCCUUACCUAUGCUAUGGAUUUAAUUUAUUUUCUUAUUUCAUGUACACUGCUCUUUUUUUGUUACAGUGUAUGAUGGAUGUGUAUGGAAAAUGUAUCUUUGGAGAAAAAUUACAGUUUGUUAAUUUGAA